Molecule: long non-coding RNA, 3068 nt
Filed under: Setaria italica (foxtail millet)
Lineage: Eukaryota; Viridiplantae; Streptophyta; Magnoliopsida; Poales; Poaceae
Description: long non-coding RNA (SITA_LNC001797)
Source: RNAcentral
CGCCCCCGGCCGCCGGCCCCGCCGCCCUCCGCCGGCACGUAGCCCGCCAUGCACGUGCGCGCCGCGGGUCGCCGGAGGAACUGAAGCCGAGUGGAUAGCAGCUGGCCAGGCCACCAGCAGCAGAACAAGGUAAUCAAGUGAGGACGACGAUUAAUACGAGCACGUAAUUAUCGGGCAGCUUAGGUUCCUGAAUUUUUGCAACGAACCUGUGGUGGAAGCUCCCACAUCGAUGCAUCGCCCCCCAGUGCUCUAGCUUUCAGUUACGGGCCAGGUUUUACCCCGUCCUAGCUGCAAGAUAACUUUCUUUUUUAAGAAAAAGUAAUUAACUUGUGUCUGGUUUUUAAGAAGAAUAUGUUAAUUUGAGUAGAUAUCUGCAUGCAGGAGCCUGAAUUGGUGAUUUCCAUUUUAAAAUAGCCUGAAACGCUCGGUUCCUUCUAAAAGGAGCGCAAAUUCUUACUGAUUGGGCUUUUUAUUCCUAAUAAGAAAAGUGAGGUGGCUUUUUUUAUUUGAAAAUGGGAAGAUAUUGAUUCUUUUGGAUUGAUGCUUCCUAUGGCUGAUAUUCCAUUUAGGAUCGAACAAUCUUUUUUCAAGAGAGGAUACCGGAGAUGCUCAAAUUGUAUUUGUUUAUGCGCUGAGCUAUUUAUCUCCAGAUUUGCUAUGAUUUAGUCAAAGAAAAAAAAACAAUAGACAAAUUAAAUGUUCUUGAUAGAGAAAUCAAGUGUUCCAGGAAAUCAGAAAAAAUUAUAUCAUUAUGGAUAGAUCUAAAGUGCUGAUUAAUGCAACGGCUAGAAAAGUGACAUAUUUUGGGUGAUAAUAUCCCAACAAUUAAAUGGAUGGUCCCUUCAUUUAUAUAUCAUUACCAAGAUUGUUCAUGCGACCCCUUUUCCUGAAUUGAGAUUUACUGACCGCAAGAUUAUUCUAUGGGGGGUGUACUGGUACUAUAUCUGAACCCUACAUGUAUAAUACAAUAAUGAACACAUUUGCGGUGAAGGAGAAUUCCCUUGUGUUUGUAUAUACAAGCCACAAUUACGUGGUGAUGUUUAGUUAUGUAUCCCAUCCGUUUAUGCUAUGCAUCUAUCUUUCAAUCUUUCUCCUUUAGCUCUUGCAUUUGCACAUAAAAAUAAAACAAAAUAAAAUCUCACAAUACAUGUCUCUCUCCACAGCCGUCCGAUUGCAAUUCAGAGGGUAUUCCCUAUUUUCCCAUGCGGGGUUAAUCCCUAAAUAACCACUUCACAUACAACACAAAGUAUUGGUCUUGUAAACAGGUAUACUAGUUCAUGGUUGAAGCUAUAUGAUAUGCUUGACAUGCAUUUGGUGUUUGGAACCCAAAGUACUCAAUGGGUUUGUUGAGUAUGGAUAACUCUUUGCUAGCAUAGAUACUAGCACAAUGUGGACCACUCCAUCCACACAAAAGCGUGUGGGGGCCUGUGUGUGAGUGGCUGCCCAGCACCUUGUGCUCUUGUCGCCACAAGUUGCAAAAGACAGUGUGGCCGUCGCCACAUGGACUUGACUUGGAUAUGCACGAAUAGUGGUCCACAUUAUAACACAAAAGUAAUUCUCGCUCAUAAUAACACAAAAAGAUAUCUCCAUUUAGCUAGGGAUGUAAUAUAGGUGGCGUUUGGUUCCCUUUACUUAUUUUUAGCACAUAUCAUAUCAAAUGUUUAGAUACUAAUUAGGAGUAUUAAACGUGAACUAUUUAUAAAACUAACUGCACAGACGGAGGCUAAAUGGCGAGACGAAUCUAUUAAGCCUAAUUAAUCCAUCAUUAGCAAAUGUUUACGGUAGCACCACAUUGUCAAAUCAUGGACUAAUUAGGUUUAAUAGAUUCGUCUCGCCGUUUAGCCUCCACUUAUGUAAUGGGUUUUGUAAGUAGUCUAUAUUUAAUACUUCUAAUUAGUAUCUAAACAUUCAAUGUGGCGGGUGUUAAAAAUAAGCGAGAGUAACCGGGCCAUAAACAUGUCACUUCUUCCUUCUCGGAACGCAAAUAUCUAAGAUCGAUGAUAGAUGGCCGAGGAUGGAAGAGGACGGCCAACAAAAAGGGAGGCAAUCACAAUUCUAGUGUACAGAUGACAGCUAGAGGAGUAGCACUUUUCCUAGAGUACUGUAAAGGGGUCGCAUUUUAUUGCAUUUGAACAAUAAUAGUACAACAUUAAUCUUACAAUUAUUAUUGUCGCUUUAAGUACAUGAAAAAACCCAAGAGCUGGAUGUGCAUGUGCUUAACUCUAUCCUAUUCUUGUUACUAGAACAAUAUAGCACCAUACCAUGCCACUACAGUUAACACAGUGAAACACCUCAGAUACUUGCCCACAUUACACUUAUUUCUUCAGGAUAUUAUAUUAUAUCCAAUAAACAAAUGAAUAAUUAUUUUUUACCACACUAAUGUUUUUUUUUUUACUUUUAAGCCGCUGGAGAUGACUUGGGCGCCUUGACGGCCUCGAACCUUGGCUCCUUGGCCUGGAACUUCUGCUUGGCGUACACGUCCAUGUAGUCGCCGAAGACGUACUUGGGGUAGGCUUCGCCGCCGGCCGCCACCGCCGGCGAGAUGGUGGCCUCGUUGGCCGGGUUGUAGAAGGAGGCGAUGGAGCGGCGGUUGGCGUUGCGCAUGGGGAGGACGCGGUGCCACGCGCUGCGGUAGCGGCCGUUGCUGAGCACCUCGAUCUGGUCGCCGGUGUUGACGACGAUGGCGCCGGCGAGCGGCUGCACGUCCGUCCACUGGCCGUCCUUGAGCACCUCCAGGCCGCCGACCUGGUCGUCCUGGUACAGCAGGAUGACGCCGCCGGCGUCCGUGUGCGCGCGGAGGCCCGUGACGAGGUCCGGGCGCGGGCACGGCGGAUAGUGGCUGACCUUGGUGCCGAAGAAGGGCUCGUGGCGGCCGUCGCCGGAGAAGGCGCGCUGGAUGGCGCCCUUCUCAAGGCCGAGGUUCUCGUCCAUGGCCUCCAUGACGCGCCCGGCGAGCUUCCUCAGCUCGGCGCGGUACUCGCGCAUGGUCUCCUUGAACUCCGGCGGGUUCGACGGCCACUGGCUGCCGUCGUGGAUGUAGAAGAUGUCCUCCCAGUCCAUGUCGUCCA